CGGCCGCAGCUUGCUUAUGGACAGCGCUAACAGAUCACAGUGGAAGAAACACCAACAAAACAUGUGAGGAUAAGGAGAGUGCUGGUGACCCUCUUCUGGCUGGCCGGCGGUGCAUCCAAUAGGGAAACAGCCGACAUCUUUGUGAUGCCCUUGUGUGCCAGGUGGUGCACAGAGUCAUGAACUCCUUGAUGGGGAUCAUU
This is a long non-coding RNA of Fundulus heteroclitus (mummichog), 200 nucleotides long. RefSeq lists it as uncharacterized. NCBI's taxonomy places the organism in Eukaryota, Metazoa, Chordata, Actinopteri, Cyprinodontiformes, Fundulidae. The transcript is spliced from 2 exons. The record is from RefSeq and is a predicted model, not a curated record.